GACGAACGCUGGCGGCGUGCCUAAUACAUGCAAGUCGAGCGAUGAUUAAAGAUAACUUGCUAUUUUUAUGAAGAGCGGCGAACGGGUGAGUAACGCGUGGGAAAUCUGCCGAGUAGCGGGGGACAACGUUUGGAAACGAACGCUAAUACCGCAUAACAAUGAGAAUCGCAUGAUUCUUAUUUGAAAGAAGCAAUUGCUUCACUACUUGAUGAUCCCGCGUUGUAUUAGCUAGUUGGUAGUGUAAAGGACUACCAAGGCGAUGAUACAUAGCCGACCUGAGAGGGUGAUCGGCCACACUGGGACUGAGACACGGCCCAGACUCCUACGGGAGGCAGCAGUAGGGAAUCUUCGGCAAUGGGGGCAACCCUGACCGAGCAACGCCGCGUGAGUGAAGAAGGUUUUCGGAUCGUAAAACUCUGUUGUUAGAGAAGAACGUUAAGUAGAGUGGAAAAUUACUUAAGUGACGGUAUCUAACCAGAAAGGGACGGCUAACUACGUGCCAGCAGCCGCGGUAA
Molecule: ribosomal RNA, 515 nt
Filed under: uncultured bacterium
Lineage: Bacteria
Description: partial 16S ribosomal RNA
Rfam family: Bacterial small subunit ribosomal RNA
Source: RNAcentral